AUAGCGUAUAUUAAAGUUGUUGCAGUUAAAAAGCUCGUAGUUGAAUUUCAGGGCGGGUCGGGCGGUCCACCGGAAACGGUGUGUACUGCUAUUCGGCCUGCCCUUUCCUCCUGGGGAACUGGUGUGCUCUUCACUGAGUGUGCCAGCGCUUCCAGGACUUUUACUUUGAAAAAAUUAGAGUGUUCAAAGCAGGCUCACCGCCUGUAUACAUUAGCAUGGAAUAAUAGAAUAGGACAGUGGUCCUAAUUUUGUUGGCUUUCAGGACCGCAGUAAUGAUGAAUAGGAACAGUUGGGGGCAUUUGUAUUGGGGAGCUAGAGGUGAAAUUCUGGGAUUUCCCCAAGACAAACUUUUG
Molecule: ribosomal RNA, 353 nt
Filed under: Piptocephalis xenophila
Lineage: Eukaryota; Fungi; Zoopagomycota; Zoopagomycetes; Zoopagales; Piptocephalidaceae
Description: SSU rRNA
Rfam family: Eukaryotic small subunit ribosomal RNA
Source: RNAcentral